UUAGCGGCGGACGGGUGAGUAACACGUGGAUAACCUACCUAUAAGACUGGGAUAACUUCGGGAAACCGGAGCUAAUACCGGAUAAUAUUUUGAACCGCAUGGUUCAAAAGUGAAAGACGGUCUUGCUGUCACUUAUAGAUGGAUCCGCGCUGCAUUAGCUAGUUGGUAAGGUAACGGCUUACCAAGGCAACGAUGCAUAGCCGACCUGAGAGGGUGAUCGGCCACACUGGAACUGAGACACGGUCCAGACUCCUACGGGAGGCAGCAGUAGGGAAUCUUCCGCAAUGGGCGAAAGCCUGACGGAGCAACGCCGCGUGAGUGAUGAAGGUCUUCGGAUCGUAAAACUCUGUUAUUAGGGAAGAACAUAUGUGUAAGUAACUGUGCACAUCUUGACGGUACCUAAUCAGAAAGCCACGGCUAACUACGUGCCAGCAGCCGCGGUAAUACGUAGGUGGCAAGCGUUAUCCGGAAUUAUUGGGCGUAAAGCGCGCGUAGGCGGUUUUUUAAGUCUGAUGUGAAAGCCCACGGCUCAACCGUGGAGGGUCAUUGGAAACUGGAAAACUUGAGUGCAGAAGAGGAAAGUGGAAUUCCAUGUGUAGCGGUGAAAUGCGCAGAGAUAUGGAGGAACACCAGUGGCGAAGGCGACUUUCUGGUCUGUAACUGACGCUGAUGUGCGAAAGCGUGGGGAUCAAACAGGAUUAGAUACCCUGGUAGUCCACGCCGUAAACGAUGAGUGCUAAGUGUUAGGGGGUUUCCGCCCCUUAGUGCUGCAGCUAACGCAUUAAGCACUCCGCCUGGGGAGUACGACCGCAAGGUUGAAACUCAAAGGAAUUGACGGGGACCCGCACAAGCGGUGGAGCAUGUGGUUUAAUUCGAAGCAACGCGAAGAACCUUACCAAAUCUUGACAUCCUU
This 913-nucleotide ribosomal RNA is filed under the name Staphylococcus aureus. RNAcentral's name for it is "bacterial SSU rRNA". It matches the Rfam family "Bacterial small subunit ribosomal RNA", at positions 92 to 991 of the family's 1533-position model. RNAcentral also lists the same sequence under 1 other name. The record is from RNAcentral. Lineage: Bacteria; Bacillati; Bacillota; Bacilli; Caryophanales; Staphylococcaceae.